AACGAACGCUGGCGGCAUGCCUAACACAUGCAAGUCGAACGAGACCUUCGGGUCUAGUGGCGCACGGGUGCGUAACGCGUGGGAACCUGCCCUUAGGUUCGGAAUAACUCCCCGAAAGGGGUGUUAAUACCGGAUAAUGUUUUCGGACCAAAGAUUUAUCGCCUUUGGAUGGGCCCGCGUUGGAUUAGCUAGUUGGUAGGGUAAAAGCCUACCAAGGCGACGAUCCAUAGCUGGUCUGAGAGGAUGAUCAGCCACACUGGGACUGAGACACGGCCCAGACUCCUACGGGAGGCAGCAGUGGGGAAUAUUAGACAAUGGGCGAAAGCCUGAUCCAGCAAUGCCGCGUGAGUGAUGAAGGCCUUAGGGUUGUAAAGCUCUUUUACCCGGGAUGAUAAUGACAGUACCGGGAGAAUAAGCUCCGGCUAACUCCGUG
Molecule: ribosomal RNA, 433 nt
Filed under: uncultured bacterium
Lineage: Bacteria
Description: partial 16S ribosomal RNA
Rfam family: Bacterial small subunit ribosomal RNA
Source: RNAcentral